UUUUUCGCUCUUUCCCAUGCUGAACAGCGAAGAGGACGUACACGAUAAAAUGAUUAACAACUCUAGGAAAAGGCGAGUUGAUCGAUUUAGCAAUGAGAAACGGGGCGGUGAACGAUUGCGCGCUCGUGACUGGUCUCUUUCCGAGCGCACGAGCUGAUAUGAGUUCAUUUUGUGAGGAGUUGUGAGAAACACGUGGCUGCAUGGAGCCUGUAACCCUGUCCGAGGGUUCUUGCUUCACUGUCUGGGACUUCCUCCAGCGGCCCAGCAGUGUGAAGAGGAGAGGAGGGAGUAGACAUGUGGCUCGGACUUGGUUGAAGUGAAAAGAGCAGAGAGGCGUUCCUGGAUCUCGAAUCAACGGCUCACAUUUAUUCCUGUUAACAAGGCAAGU
Pygocentrus nattereri (red-bellied piranha) is the source of this 388-nucleotide long non-coding RNA. RefSeq lists it as uncharacterized. The record is from RefSeq and is a predicted model, not a curated record. NCBI's taxonomy places the organism in Eukaryota, Metazoa, Chordata, Actinopteri, Characiformes, Serrasalmidae. The transcript is spliced from 3 exons.